CCUAACGGCUGAACCAGCAAUUUGAGGGAAUGUAAGUAUGUAUAGUUAUAUGCAUAUGAAUUGACUAUGUCAAAUAAAAUUCUGGGUAGAUAAUUGAUAAUGACAAAUUUCUAUCCAUAUGUCUUGACCAAUUCUUGUGCCAGCAGUCGCGGCAACACAAGUAAGACUAGUGUUAUUCAUCUUUAUUAGGUUUAAAGGUACCUAGACGGCAUUUAUCACUUUUAUAAGAGAAUAUUUUUGCUAGAGUUUUAUGUGAGAGGUAAAUAUUAGGACUGUUGGUGUAGAGAUGAAAUUCUUUGAUACUAACAGAAUGUGUAAUGGCGAAGGCAACCCUCUAUGUACAAACUGACGUUAAGGGACGAAGGCUUGGGGAGCAAAUAGGAUUAGAUACCCUAGUAGUCCAGGCAGAAAAUUAUGAAUGUUAUAGACUAAGCAAAAAGUUGGUGUAUAAAUGAAAGUGUAAGCAUUCCACCUCAAGAGUAGUGUGGCAACACAGGAACUGAAAUCAUUAGACCGUUUCUGAAACCAGUAGUGAAGUAUGUUAUUUAAUUCGAUGGUCCUCGAAAAACCUUACCACAUCUUGAAUAGUAUUUAUUUUAAUAUUACAAGCGUUGCACGGUUGUCUAAAGCUAAUGUCGUGAGAUUUUGAUUAGAUUCAUUAAAUUGGCGUAACCCCUUACUCUAUUUACUAAUAAUAUUGUAGUUCACCGUUAUAUUAGGUUUGAUAAUAGGGAAGAAGACAAAUCAUCAUGACCUUAAUGGUGUGGGCUAUAGACGUGCCACAUAUAUUUGUACAAAGAGAGACAAAAGUGC
Molecule: ribosomal RNA, 813 nt
Filed under: Naetrocymbe punctiformis
Lineage: Eukaryota; Fungi; Ascomycota; Dothideomycetes; Pleosporales; Naetrocymbaceae
Description: SSU rRNA
Rfam family: Bacterial small subunit ribosomal RNA
Source: RNAcentral